Molecule: ribosomal RNA, 500 nt
Filed under: uncultured bacterium
Lineage: Bacteria
Description: partial 16S ribosomal RNA
Rfam family: Bacterial small subunit ribosomal RNA
Source: RNAcentral
AUUGAACGCUGGCGGCAUGCCUUACACAUGCAAGUCGAACGGCAGCACGGGAGCAAUCCUGGUGGCGAGUGGCGAACGGGUGAGUAAUGUAUCGAAACGUGCCCAGUCGUGGGGGAUAACGUAGCGAAAGCUACGCUAAUACCGCAUACGAUCUAUGGAUGAAAGCGGGGGAUCGCAAGACCUCGCGCGAUUGGAGCUGCCGAUAUCAGAUUAGGUAGUUGGUGGGGUAAAGGCCCACCAAGCCUGCGAUCUGUAGCUGGUCUGAGAGGACGGCCAGCCACACUGGAACUGAGACACGGUCCAGACUCCUACGGGAGGCAGCAGUGGGGAAUUUUGGACAAUGGGCGCAAGCCUGAUUCAGCAAUGCCGCGUGCAGGAUGAAGGCCUUCGGGUUGUAAACUGCUUUUGUACGGAACGAAACGGCUUUUUCUAAUACAGAGAGCUAAUGACGGUACCGUAAGAAUAAGCACCGGCUAACUACGUGCCAGCAGCCGCAGUAA